CAGCCGCCACGGUAAUACGUAGGUGGCAAGCGUUGUCCGGAAUUAUUGGGCGUAAAGGGCUCGCAGGCGGUUUCUUAAGUCUGAUGUGAAAGCCCCCGGCUCAACCGGGGAGGGUCAUUGGAAACUGGGAUACUUGAGUGCAGAAGAGGAGAGUGGAGUUCCACGUGUAGCGGUGAAAUGCGUAGAGAUGUGGAGGAGCACCAGUGGCGAAGGCGACUCUCUGAUCUGUAACUGACGCUGAGGAGCGAAAGCGUGGGGAGCGAACAGGAUUAGAUACCCCCGUAGUCCCUGUCUCUUAUAC
RNAcentral lists this ribosomal RNA (301 nucleotides) under uncultured bacterium. RNAcentral describes it as "partial 16S ribosomal RNA". It matches the Rfam family "Bacterial small subunit ribosomal RNA", at positions 509 to 807 of the family's 1533-position model. The record is from RNAcentral.